This 331-nucleotide unclassified non-coding RNA is filed under the name soil metagenome. RNAcentral describes it as "partial contains 5.8S ribosomal RNA, internal transcribed spacer 2, and large subunit ribosomal RNA". The stretch from base 1 to 120 matches the Rfam family "5.8S ribosomal RNA", at positions 35 to 154 of the family's 154-position model. The record is from RNAcentral.
GAUGAAGAACGUAGCGAAAUGCGAUAAGUAAUGUGAAUUGCAGAAUUCCGUGAAUCAUCGAAUCUUUGAACGCACAUUGCGCCCCCUGGUAUUCCGGGGGGCAUGCCUGUUCGAGCGUCAUUUCACCACUCAAGCCUCGCUUGGUAUUGGGCAACGCGGUCCGCCGCGUGCCUCAAAUCGACCGGCUGGGUCUUCUGUCCCCUAAGCGUUGUGGAAACUAUUCGCUAAAGGGUGUUCGGGAGGCUACGCCGUAAAACAACCCCAUUUCUAAGGUUGACCUCGCAUCAGGUAGGGAUACCCGCUGAACUUAAGCAUAUCAAUAAGCGGAGGA